CCUACGUGAGUCAGCAGUGAGGAAUAUUGGUCAAUGGACGGAAGUCUGAACCAGCCCUGCCGCGUGCAGGAAGACUGCUCUAUGAGUUGUAAACUGCUUUUGUACAAGGGUAAACCUGAAUACGUGUAUUCAGCUGACAGUACUUUACGAAUAAGGAUCGGCUAACUCCGUGCCAGCAGCCGCGGUAAUACGGAGGAUCCAAGCGUUAUCCGGAUUUAUUGGGUUUAAAGGGUGCGUAGGUGGAUUGAUAAGGUAGAUGUGAAAUGUGCGAGCUUAACUCGGGAACUGCCUUUAAUACUGUUGAUCUAGAGAGUAGAUGCGGUAGGCGGAAGGUAUGGUGUAGCGGUGAAAUGCUUAGAGAUCAUACAGAACACCGAUUGCGAAGGCAGCUUACCAAUCUAUAUCUGACGUUGAGGCACGAAAGCGUGGGGAGCAAACAGGAUUAGAUACCCUUGUAGUC
Molecule: ribosomal RNA, 460 nt
Filed under: uncultured bacterium
Lineage: Bacteria
Description: partial 16S ribosomal RNA
Rfam family: Bacterial small subunit ribosomal RNA
Source: RNAcentral